GACAGAGGUGCCAAGCGUUAGGCGGAAUCACUGGGCUUAAAGCGUGUGUAGGCGGAAUGGUAAGUACCUUGUGAAAUCCCACGGCUCAACCGUGGAACUGCUGGGUAUACUGCCCUUCUUGAGCCACUUAGGGGCUGUCGGAACAAACGGUGGAGCGGUGAAAUGCGUAGAUAUCGGGAGGAACAUCAGUGGCGAAGGCGGCUAUCUGGACCAACACUGACACUGAGGCACGAAAGCGUGGGUAGCAAACAGG
This 253-nucleotide ribosomal RNA is filed under the name uncultured bacterium. RNAcentral's name for it is "partial 16S ribosomal RNA". It matches the Rfam family "Bacterial small subunit ribosomal RNA", at positions 524 to 776 of the family's 1533-position model. The record is from RNAcentral.